AGAAGCUUCCCAGUCCAUAGAACCUGGCAACUGAUGAGGUUCUUUUCAUCUAUUCCUCUUUCAUCUCAACCAAACUUAUUAGGACUUCUUCCAUUUUCACAGUAAUGCGUUUCAUCGUGGCAUCUUCAUUUUCUGUAUCAUCAUAGUUUGCUGUCAUUCAUUGUUCACCCCAUUCUAUUAAAAUGCAUUCUAUACAAGAUCCAGUUACAGCAAUGACAAGCUUGAUCAGCUCAACACUGCAGUGGAGAGAUGUCUCAGCAAGAGAAUUAGCUGAUGCUCAAGGCUGAGGACCUAAUUUUUGGAACCUCAGAACCUACACAAAACCAGCAACAUGCCAUGCAUCUGUAUUCCCAAAAGUCCUGAGGUGAAUGGGAUGCAUAGAUAAGGGCUCCUCAGAAGCUCCAGGACCAGCUACCCUACCCUAACCGUAAUGAACAAAAGGGUCCUGUCUCAUGUAUGGUUCAAGAAUAACCCACGUGUCAUCCAUCAGUCACACAGGAACACAUGCACACACACGUAUCAUACAAAUAUACUAAUAAAAGCAUAUAAAAAGAUAUUUUCCAAAAAUGUUUUAUGCUGAGACACAUUAUAAUUAUAUUUUCAAAAGUUGAAGACAAUGAAUUUUGAGAUUAAUAAGAGAAAAGCAACUCAUUAUAUACUCUGGAAACUCCAUAAGGUUAUCAUUGAAUCUUUCAGUGAGGAUCUGAAUGAUUUUAGUCAAAGUGGGAAUCAAAUAAAAUGAUAGUAACAAAAGCUGUACCAGACAAAAGAGUCUUGUAACAAGGAGAGACAUAUGAACAUUUUUUCCAGACACCAAAACCAGAUGCACUUCAGCAACACUACACUUGCUUAAGAGUGUUUAAAUCUCAUUGGUGCAAGCAAAUAUAUAGAUGAGUAUAUGUUGGGAUCAGAAUGGCUCUGACCCCUCUAAGAUUGCCACCCACCUCCUCUGUUCUGAGUGUGCUGAGGUCAGGCUGUUCCGUGGAUGUUUUGCUGUUUGGUAUAUCUGGUGGUUUGGCAACUGUGGCUUCCUGGGGCAUGCUGACCAUUCCUUGACCCUGGGUGCUUGAUAAACAAUUUUGUUUGUUCCUCCUGAAAGGGUAUAUAAGAUGGGGAAGAAAGAAUAAAAGAGUCCUGAUGCUUGCAACUUGA
Peromyscus eremicus (cactus mouse) is the source of this 1152-nucleotide long non-coding RNA. RefSeq lists it as uncharacterized. NCBI's taxonomy places the organism in Eukaryota, Metazoa, Chordata, Mammalia, Rodentia, Cricetidae. The record is from RefSeq and is a predicted model, not a curated record. The transcript is spliced from 3 exons.